UGAGUGAUAGUCCUGAAUUUAUUUGCGAGCUGGACAAUGAAAAGAUCUAGCACCAUGUAAAUUCAGCAUUUGAGCUC
This 77-nucleotide microRNA precursor is filed under the name Haemonchus contortus (barber pole worm). RNAcentral describes it as "mir-83 microRNA precursor family". It matches the Rfam family "mir-83 microRNA precursor family". The record is from Rfam by way of RNAcentral. Lineage: Eukaryota; Metazoa; Nematoda; Chromadorea; Rhabditida; Trichostrongylidae.